AGCAGCCGCGGUAAUUCCAGCUCCAAUAGCGUAUAUUAAAGUUGCUGCAGUUAAAAAGCUCGUAGUUGAAUUUCGGGGUCAAUAUGUUGGUCGUGCCUUGGUACGUACUAGCUUAUUGAUUUCUCCUUUCUGACGAACCAUGAUGUCAUUAAUUUGGUGUCAUGGGGAAUCAGGACUUGUUAACUUUAGAAAAAAUUAGAGUGUUUAAAGCAGGCUCGCGCUUGAAUAUAUUAGCUAAG
This 239-nucleotide ribosomal RNA is filed under the name uncultured Glomus. Its description in RNAcentral is "partial 18S ribosomal RNA". It matches the Rfam family "Eukaryotic small subunit ribosomal RNA", at positions 569 to 812 of the family's 1831-position model. Lineage: Eukaryota; Fungi; Glomeromycota; Glomeromycetes; Glomerales; Glomeraceae. The record is from RNAcentral.